RNAcentral lists this long non-coding RNA (4867 nucleotides) under Olea europaea (common olive). RNAcentral describes it as "long non-coding RNA (OEUR_LNC012453)". The record is from RNAcentral. Lineage: Eukaryota; Viridiplantae; Streptophyta; Magnoliopsida; Lamiales; Oleaceae.
UUAAGCUGUGUUAGCUUCUCGUACUAAGUGUCAAAGAUCCUUGUAUUUACUGUCAAACAAUGAGAUAUAUAUUUACCUUCCUUAAGAUAUCUCAUUUGUAUAGAAAAUUGCACACAAUCAGGCUACAUGCAGGAAACUGCACAUAAUCAGGAUGAUUACCUUAGACAUAGGAAAUAGCAAAUAAUCAGGCUACAUAUUUUUCUUUCCAUAGAAUCUGGCCAUUAUGCUUGUAUAAAUACGGUGGCUGUACAUUACAAAAGAAAUGAAUAAAAUCAAAUUUUCUAUCUCUUUACAUGGUAUCAGAGCUUUGUGAUUCUUUGCUUGUGCCAUCUCCUUAUCUAACAAUUCCAGCAACCCUCUGGUCAAUAAUUCUCAUGAAGUUUCUUCGACCCUCCCUACCAUAGCUCAACUCAUUAGCGAUGUAUCUUCUCCAUAUUUCCUACACUCCUCAGAUCACCCAGGUUCCCUCCUUGUCUCCACCUUAUUGACUGUUGAAAAUUAUCACACUUGGUGUCGCUCCAUGAAGAAAGCCCUCAAUGGCAAAAAUAAACUUGGCUUUGUGGACGGUUCACUCACCAAGCCGACCAGCUCCCCUGCCGAAUCACAACUCUGGGGUAGGUGUAAUGACAUGGUGUUCUCCUGGAUUCUCAACAGCAUUGACAAAUCUCUCCACAGCAGUUUGGUUUAUUAUGACAGCCCCCGUGAUAUUUGGACAGACCUUGAAGGUCGUUUUUCUCGGAGUAACAAUCCUCAUCUCUUCCGUCUCCGACGAGAUCUCUCCACUCUCCAACAAGGUGGCUCCACCAUUACUGAAUACUAUCACCGCAUCAAGUCUCUUUGGGAUGAACUCGAAGCCUUGUCUCCUCCCCCAUCAUGUUCAUGUGGUGCACUCAAGGACCUUCAAGCCUCACAAUCCGCUGAACGUGUUUUCCAGUUUCUAACCGGUUUACAUGACUCCUUUGUUGCCCUGCGGACUCAAGUCUUGGCAAUGGACCCACUCCCCUCACUAGCGAAGGUUUACUCCAUCUUUCACCAAGAAGAAACACAGCGUCGCCUUCACAUCUCUGGACCAUAUCUGGAAAGUGUGGCUCUUGCUAUACGUCCCUCUUCUUCACAGCAGCGUAACCCUUCCGGUCGUGGGCACGGUCGUCCCAAAAUGCACUCAUUGUGGUGAAGAUGGCCAUUGGAAGACAACCUGUUUCCGUAUCAUCAGUUAUCCCACCGGUUGACGUUGCUUUCAUCAAACCCAUGCUAGCCAAUCCGCUCACUCCAACGCUACUCUACCCUCCAAUGAUGUUUUGGCUCUUGGUCUCAAUCCCGAACAGGAAUAGCAACUUCAGUCAACAGUAUCAUCUACUGCAAAUUUUGUUGGUAAUUCCACUGCUCUCUCUACUCACCUGAAUUCCAUUACUCGACCUUGGAUCAUUGACACAGGUGCCUCUGACCAUAUGUGUUCUUCACUCGAUGCCUUCACCACAAUUCAUCCUAUUACUCAUCCACGCUCAGUCACUCUCCCCAAUGGUGACUUAGUAGCUGUCACUCGUGUUGGUUCAGUUUCUUUAUCUUCACAUAUCACUCUUCAUCAUGUUCUCUAUGUUCCGAAUUUUCAUUACAAUCUUUUAUGUGUUUCACAACUCACUCAAUCGUUACAAUGCCUUGCCCUUUUUUCCCUUCCUUUUGUGUUUUUCAGGACAUCCAGACGAAGAAGCCGAUUGGAGCGGGUAAAGUCAGUCAUGGUCUUUAUUUCUUUACUCCACCAUCCAGUUUAGCCUUUGUGUCCACUUCACCUGCCCACUUAUGGCACCAACGUCUAGGCCAUCCGUCUCUUCAUACUCCAAAUAAGUCCUUAAAUAUUUUUCAUUCCGUACAAUCUUGUGAUGUUUGUACUCCAGGCAAGUUGUCACGUUCCAAGUUUCAUUCUCCUAUCAAUAAAAGUACAUUUGCUUUUAAUCGCAUAUUUUGUGAUAUAUGGGGAGGUUAUCCCACUGCUAUUUUAUCUGGUGCACAUUAUUUCUUAACAAUCAUCGAUGACCAUUCUCGCUACACUUGGACAUAUUUGAUGAAAUUAAAAUUAGAUACCUUCGCAUGUUUCCGCCAUUUCUUUGCUUAUGUCCAAACUCAAUUUAAUUGUACGAUCAAACAUGUACGCACUGAUAACGGCCAAGAGUUUUUGCCCUAUAAUCUCCAAACAUUUUUCAACAAUAAUGGCAUUCUCCAUGAACGUACUUGUGUCGAAACGCCUCAACAAAAUGGUGUUGUCGAACGCAAGCAUCGUCAUUUACUCAACGUUGCCCGCUGCCUUCGCUUCCAAGCCCACUUUUCCCUUAAAUUUUGGGGCAACUGUGUCCUCACCGCCACCUACUUGAUCAAUAGAACGUCUUCCGCUACCUUAAUGCACAAAACACCCUAUGAACUACUCCAUCACAUGACACCUACCUAUGAUCAUUUACGUGUCCUAGGUUGUCUAUGUUAUGCAUCUACCCUACGUCGUGAUCGUUACAAAUUCUCCCCUCGUGCUCCUCGGUGUCUUUAUUGGCUAUCCCUCCAAUCACCAUGGUUAUCUUCUCUACGACUUAGACACUGCCACUACAUUUAUCUCUCGUGACACCCAAUUUCAUGAACCCAUAUUUCUUUUCUCCUCCCCUACUUCAACACCCUCGUCCACCAUUGUCAUACCCACUAAUAUUCUUGACCUUUCUCACCCACAGUCAGCCGAACCUCCCUCCCAUACCACUACCGAACCUGCUGCCCCACUGGCCUCUCCUCCCGAGAUCCGUCACCACCACCUCGCCCCACUCGAAGUCAACGCCCUCCUCCUCACCUUCAUGAUUACAUAUGUCCUACCCUUUCACGUACAAAUGGCGUGACUUCAUCUUCCCUACGGCCUUCUUCAGGUUUGUCAUACUCCCUCCAUUCCUUCCUUAACUAUGAGCGUUUUUCUCAUAAACACCGCUCUUUGCUCUCCCAUAUUACUAACAUUGCAGAUCCUACCUCAUUCACUGAGGCUUCACGCCAUGCCCAUUGGCAACAAGCAAUGAACUCCGAAAUCAUAGCCUUAGAAUCUAAUGGCACUUGGUCCCUCACCUCCCUUCUUCUUGGCAAAUACCCUAUUGGUUGCAAAUGGAUUUACAAAACAAAAUUGAAAGCAAAUGGUACUAUUGAACGUUACAAAGCUCGCCUUGUGGCCAAGGGUUACACUCAAAUUGAGGGAUUGGACUAUCAUGACACCUUUGCUCUUGUCGCCAAACUUGUUACAGUCCGCUGCCUUUUGUCCAUCGCUGCGGCUAAAAAAUUGGUUCCUAUACCAACUUGAUGUGCACAAUGCUUUUCUUCAUGGAGAUCUCGACGAAGAAGUCUACAUGAAACCUCCUUCUGGAUAUUGUAAAAGGGGAAAAACUCGCGUCUGUCGACUACACAAAUCUAUCUAUGGCCUUAAACAAGCCUCCCGCAAUUGGUUUUCUAAGCUUUCUUCAGUUUUGCAAGCUGCUGAUUUCAGUCCAUCCAUGGCGAACCACUCAUUAUUCACUCUUUCACGUGGUUCAUCUUUUGCAGCACUCCUUGUCUAUGUAGAUGAUAUUCUUUUAGCCGGUGAUGACGACAACUUACUCAUUGAUGUCAAGACUUUUCUUUCUAGCAAAGUCAAAUUCAAAUAUCUUGGUCCACUCAAGUAUUUUUUGGGAAUUGAAGUCGCUCGCUCACCUCGUGGUAUUUUUAUCAAUCAUGCAAGUACACCCUGGACAUUUUAUCUGAAAGUGGUUAUCUCGGCUCCAAACCCCUUACCUUGCCCAUGUAAUAGAAUCACAAACUUCAAGUUGAUGUAGGUGACCUUUUAACUGAUGCUAGCCUUUAUCGUCGAUUGAUCGGCCAUUUACUUUAUCUCAUAGUCACAAGACCUGAUAUUACAUAUGCCGUCAACAUUUUGAGUCAAUUUAUGCACUGCCCAAGAUAGCCCCAUCUUGACGCUGCCAUUUGAGUUCUUCGCUUCCUCAAAAACAAUCCAGGAUAAGGACUCCUAUUCACAGCUACCAAUGACUUUCAGGUUCGUGCUUAUGCUAAUUCAGAUCGGGCUAGCUGUCACACUAACCAUCUCUAGAUCUUCUGUUGAAGCCGAAUAGCGUGCCAUGGCCAACGUCACUUGUGAACUUAUGUGGCUUCGUACGUUACUUCUUGAUUUGCACAUCCCACAUCCCCAACCGAUGCUCCUAUAUUGUGACAAUCAGGCUGCUAUACAUAUUGCUCGCAAUCCUGUCUUCCAUGAACGCACAAAGCACAUAGACAUUGAUUGUCACGUUGUUCGUGAACAACUCAAGUCUGGCCUCAUCACCACCUCUCAUGUUUCUAGCUCAGCUCAACUUGCGGACAUCCUCACCAAAGCACUUGGCAUUGAUCUCUUCACACAGAUCAUCUUCAAGUUGGGCAUUUACAAUCCCCAUGCUCCGACUUGAGGGGGCGUGUCAAAGAUCCUUGUAUUUACUGUUAAACAAUGAGAUAUAUAUUUACCUUCCUUAAGACAUCUCAUUUGUAUAGGAAAUUGCACACAAUCAAGCUACAUACAGGAAACUGCACAUAAUCAGGAUGAUUACCUUAGACAUAGGAAAUAGCAAAUAAUCAGGCUACAUAUUUUUCUUUCCAUAGAAUCUGGCCAUUAUGCUUGUAUAAAUACGGUGGCUGUACAUUACUGAAGAAAUGAAUAAAAUCAAAUUUUCUAUCUCUUUACACUAAGUUCUCAGUUGUACCAAAAUAUCAUUUGUACCAAAAGAAGAAAAAAAGAAGUAUUUUUUAUUUACAGUAUGGUGAAUUGAUGGGACAAGGUGAAAUCAAUCUGAAAUAUUGGACGUUUGGUUCUUAGUUGUAAUAACAAUGUCAU